This 350-nucleotide ribosomal RNA is filed under the name Richelia sp. CSU_2_1. RNAcentral's name for it is "bacterial SSU rRNA". It matches the Rfam family "Bacterial small subunit ribosomal RNA", at positions 1 to 380 of the family's 1533-position model. The record is from RNAcentral. Lineage: Bacteria; Bacillati; Cyanobacteriota; Cyanophyceae; Nostocales; Nostocaceae.
AACACGGAGAGUUUGAUCCUGGCUCAGGAUGAACGCUGGCGGUCUGCUUAACACAUGCAAGUCGAACGGAGUAGCAAUACUUAGUGGCGGACGGGUGAGUAACGCGUGAGAAUCUGCCUUCAGGACGGAGACAACAGUUGGAAACGACUGCUAACCCCCGAUGUACCGAGAGGGAAAAUAUUUAUAGCCUGAAGAUGAGCUCGCGUCCGAUUAGCUAGUUGGAGGGGUAAAAGCCCACCAAGGCGACGAUCGGUAGCUGGUCUGAGAGGACGAUCAGCCACACUGGGACUGAGACACGGCCCAGACUCCUACGGGAGGCAGCAGUGGGGAAUUUUCCGCAAUGGGCGCAA